CGGCAACAGCUCAAAUUUGAAACCUGGCGCUUGCGCCCGGAUUGUAAUUUGCAGAGGAUGCUUCUGGGCAGCGGCCGGUCUAAGUUCCUUGGAACAGGACGUCAUAGAGGGUGAGAAUCCCGUAUGCGACCGGCGCGCACCCUUCACGUAGCUCCUUCGAC
RNAcentral lists this ribosomal RNA (161 nucleotides) under Janetia sp. (in: ascomycete fungi). RNAcentral describes it as "Janetia sp. partial large subunit ribosomal RNA". It matches the Rfam family "Eukaryotic large subunit ribosomal RNA", at positions 99 to 261 of the family's 3401-position model. The record is from RNAcentral. Lineage: Eukaryota; Fungi; Ascomycota; Dothideomycetes; Capnodiales.